GGAGGCAUAGCUCAGCUGGUUAGAGUGCGCGCUUCACAUGCGCGAGGUCAUGGGUUCGAGCCCCCUUGCCUCUACCA
RNAcentral lists this transfer RNA (77 nucleotides) under Firmicutes bacterium ADurb.Bin146. Its description in RNAcentral is "tRNA-Val". It matches the Rfam family "tRNA". From Rfam's summary of the family: Transfer RNA (tRNA) molecules are approximately 80 nucleotides in length. Their secondary structure includes four short double-helical elements and three loops (D, anti-codon, and T loops). Further hydrogen bonds mediate the characteristic L-shaped molecular structure. tRNAs have two regions of fundamental functional importance: the anti-codon, which is responsible for specific mRNA codon recognition, and the 3' end, to which the tRNAs corresponding amino acid is attached (by aminoacyl-tRNA synthetases). tRNAs cope with the degeneracy of the genetic code in two manners: having more than one tRNA (with a specific anti-codon) for a particular amino acid; and 'wobble' base-pairing, i.e. permitting non-standard base-pairing at the 3rd anti-codon position. Lineage: Bacteria; Bacillati; Bacillota. The record is from RNAcentral. RNAcentral also lists the same sequence under 4 other names.